GUACUCGCUUCAGUGGUACAUAUACUAAAAUUAGAACAAUACAAAGAAGAUUAGCAUGGCCCCUGCGCAAGGAUGGCAUGCAAAAUUGUGAAGCAGUCCACAUUUUA
This is a small nuclear RNA of Schistocerca gregaria, 107 nucleotides long. The record is from RefSeq and is a predicted model, not a curated record. Lineage: Eukaryota; Metazoa; Arthropoda; Insecta; Orthoptera; Acrididae.